This 253-nucleotide ribosomal RNA is filed under the name uncultured bacterium. Its description in RNAcentral is "partial 16S ribosomal RNA". It matches the Rfam family "Bacterial small subunit ribosomal RNA", at positions 524 to 776 of the family's 1533-position model. The record is from RNAcentral.
UACGAAGGGGGCUAGCGUUGCUCGGAAUCACUGGGCGUAAAGGGUGCGUAGGCGGGUUUUUAAGUCAGGGGUGAAAUCCUGGAGCUCAACUCCAGAACUGCCUUUGAUACUGGCAAUCUCGAGUCCGGGAGAGGUGAGUGGAACUGCGAGUGUAGAGGUGAAAUUCGUAGAUAUUCGCAAGAACACCAGUGGCGAAGGCGGCUCACUGGCCCGGUACUGACGCUGAGGUGCGAAAGCGUGGGGAGCGAACAGG